CUACGGGUGGCAGCAGUAGGGAAUCUUGGGCAAUGGGCGAAAGCCUGACCCAGCGACACCGCGUGGAUGAAGAAGGCCUUCGGGUUGUAAAGUCCUUACAGGUAUUAAGAAAGGUAUUCGGUUAACACCCGGAUGCUUUGACAAAGGUACCAGAUGAAGUCAUGGCUAACUCUGUGCCAGCAGCCGCGGUAAUACAGAGAUGACAACCGUUGUUCGGAAUCACUGGGCUAAAAGAGCACGUAGGCGGAAUGUUAAGUCGGUUGUGAAAUCUCACGGCUCACCCGUGAGCGGUCAACCGAUACUGGCCUUCUAGAGGCAGGUAGGGGAGAGUGGAAUUCCUGGUGGAGCGGUGAAAUGCGUUGAUAUCAGGAGGAACGUCGGAGGCGUAGGCGACUCUCUGAACCUGUCCUGACGCUGAGGUGCGAAAGCCAGGGGAGCAAACGGGAUUAGAUACCCCCGUAGUC
RNAcentral lists this ribosomal RNA (464 nucleotides) under uncultured bacterium. RNAcentral's name for it is "partial 16S ribosomal RNA". It matches the Rfam family "Bacterial small subunit ribosomal RNA", at positions 339 to 795 of the family's 1533-position model. The record is from RNAcentral.